Molecule: ribosomal RNA, 379 nt
Filed under: uncultured cyanobacterium
Lineage: Bacteria; Bacillati; Cyanobacteriota
Description: bacterial SSU rRNA
Rfam family: Bacterial small subunit ribosomal RNA
Source: RNAcentral
CGCAAGCCUGACGGAGCAAUACCGCGUGAGGGAGGAAGGCCUUUGGGUUGUAAACCUCUUUUCUUAAGGAAGAAGAUCUGACGGUACUUAAGGAAUCAGCAUCGGCUAACUCCGUGCCAGCAGCCGCGGUAAUACGGAGGAUGCAAGCGUUAUCCGGAAUUAUUGGGCGUAAAGCGUCCGCAGGCGGUAUUAUAAGUCUGCUGUCAAAGACCGCAGCUCAACUGCGGAAAGGCAGUGGAAACUGUAAAGCUAGAGUACGGUAGGGGUAGAGGGAAUUCCCAGUGUAGCGGUGAAAUGCGUAGAUAUUGGGAAGAACACCAGUGGCGAAAGCGCUCUACUGGGCCGUAACUGACGCUCAGGGACGAAAGCUAGGGGAGCG